Molecule: ribosomal RNA, 497 nt
Filed under: uncultured bacterium
Lineage: Bacteria
Description: partial 16S ribosomal RNA
Rfam family: Bacterial small subunit ribosomal RNA
Source: RNAcentral
GAUGAACGCUGGCGGCGUGCCUAAUACAUGCAAGUCGAGCGAACGGACGAGAAGCUUGCUUCUCUGAUGUUAGCGGCGGACGGGUGAGUAACACGUGGAUAACCUACCUAUAAGACUGGGAUAACUUCGGGAAACCGGAGCUAAUACCGGAUAAUAUUUUGAACCGCAUGGUUCAAAAGUAAAAGACGGUCUUGCUGUCACUUAUAGAUGGAUCCGCGCUGCAUUAACUAGUUGGUAAGGUAACGGCUUACCAAGGCAACGAUGCAUAGCCGACCUGAGAGGGUGAUCGGCCACACUGGAACUGAGACACGGUCCAGACUCCUACGGGAGGCAGCAGUAGGGAAUCUUCCGCAAUGGGCGAAAGCCUGACGGAGCAACGCCGCGUGAGUGAUGAAGGUCUUCGGAUCGUAAAACUCUGUUAUUAGGGAAGAACAUAUGUGUAAGUAACUGUGCACAUCUUGACGGUACCUAAUCAGAAAGCCACGGCUAACUACGUG